Molecule: ribosomal RNA, 119 nt
Filed under: Pteropus alecto (black flying fox)
Lineage: Eukaryota; Metazoa; Chordata; Mammalia; Chiroptera; Pteropodidae
Source: RNAcentral
GUCUACAGCCAUGCUACCCUGAACAAGCCUGAUCCUGUCUGCUCUUGAAAGCUAAGCAGGGUCGGGCCUGGUUAGUACUUGGAUGGGAGACCACCUAGGAAGACCAGAUGCUGUAGGCG